GCCGACAUAGCUCAGCGGUAGAGCAGCUGUUUCGUAAACAGCAGGUCGAGGGUUCAAUUCCCCCCGCCGGCUCCA
RNAcentral lists this transfer RNA (75 nucleotides) under Chloroflexota bacterium. Its description in RNAcentral is "Chloroflexi bacterium tRNA-Thr". It matches the Rfam family "tRNA". Rfam says of the family: Transfer RNA (tRNA) molecules are approximately 80 nucleotides in length. The record is from RNAcentral. Lineage: Bacteria; Bacillati; Chloroflexota.